CCUACGGGAGGCAGCAGUGGGGAAUAUUGGGCAAUGGAGGCAACUCUGACCCAGCGACGCCGCGUGAAUGAUGAAGGUCUUCGGAUUGUAAAGCUCUUUUUGAAGGGAAGAAGAAAGUGACGGUACCUUAGGAAUAAGCGUCGGCUAACUACGUGCCAGCAGCCGCUGUAAUACGUAGGCGGCAGGCGUUAUCCGGAAUGACUGGGUGUAAAGGGUGCGUAGGUGGUUUGAGAAGUCAGUUGCGAAAGUCCGGGGCUCAACCGGGGAACUACUGCUAAAACUGAUGGACUUGAGUACAGGGGAGGUAAGCGGAAUUCCUGGUGUAGCGGUGGAAUGCGUAGAUAUUAGGAGGAACACCAGUGGCGAAGGCGGAUUACUGGACUGUAACUGACACUGAGGCACGAAAGCGUGGGGAGCAAACAGGAUUAGAUACCCUAGUAGUC
RNAcentral lists this ribosomal RNA (443 nucleotides) under uncultured bacterium. RNAcentral's name for it is "partial 16S ribosomal RNA". It matches the Rfam family "Bacterial small subunit ribosomal RNA", at positions 338 to 795 of the family's 1533-position model. The record is from RNAcentral.